GUCCCUAGGCAAGGCCUGGGUCAGAGUUUAGUUGGGGAAUCUAGCAAAACACAGAGAGAUCUAGGUUUGCGUUGGAUAGACAUCCACGUCAGCCUUCUCCGUCGAAUCUCCUCCUCUCUCCCCACUUCCAUGGAGAAAAGCCCUCAGUUCUUCCAGAAAUGAGUAAUGAGGAGCUUAGUCUCUUGAGUCAGGAAAAGCUGGUUCAAAUGCCUGCUGUGUAUCCUAGGACAAAACACUCCUUUCUCUGACCCAAUAUCGAGUAGUUCCAAAUAUAGUGCUGCUGUCAGAAUCGAGUGGGACGAUGCUCUAAAAACACUCGGCACAGUGCCCGACACUUGAUAAACUUAGUAAAUGUUAGUCAUUAUUCUUAUUUUCUGUAAAAUGAAGGGAAUCAGUGGGGACGCUACUACUAAGAGGAAAGCAGUGCAAUGAUAUGAUACCUCUCCUAUCUGAGGAACCAGGGGUCCUUGGAGAAAUGGCUGACUCUAGAACUGAGGAGGGAAACAUACAAGAUGAACCUGAAACAUCUUACAGUGCCAGAAAGUAAGAAAAUGGUUGGAAUGAAAAAAACCUACAUGCAUGGAGGUACAUCAAAGGGACACAGGAACAACAAGGAAUUAUGUUUUCAUGAGGAAAAUGCCUGAUAAAUCCCACUUGUGGGACAUCCUACAAAAGACCAGGACUCCUCGGACUGUUAAGGUCAUCAAGAACCAGAGUCAAGAACCAGAGAAGGUCUGAGAAGCUGCCCCAGUCAAGAGGAGCUUAAGAAACUACAACUAUCAAAUGUAAUGUGGUAUCCUGGGGGAGAUCCUGGGACAGAAAAAAAAAGUGUUAAGUAAAAGAAAUCUGAAUAAACCAUGGACUUUCAUUAAUAAACUAAGCCAUUUACUAAUAAACUCAAUUCAAGUUUAGUUGGUUCAUUAAUUAUAACAAAUGUACUAAAUAAUAUAUUAAUAAGAUGUUCAUUAUAGGGAACACUGGGUGCA
Long non-coding RNA from Odocoileus virginianus texanus, 986 nucleotides. RefSeq lists it as uncharacterized. NCBI's taxonomy places the organism in Eukaryota, Metazoa, Chordata, Mammalia, Artiodactyla, Cervidae. The record is from RefSeq and is a predicted model, not a curated record.